UACGUAGGGGGCAAGCGUUAUCCGGAUUUACAGGGUGUAAAGGGAGCGUAGACGGCUGUGCAAGCCAGAUGUGAAAGCCCGGGGCUCAACCCCGGGACUGCAUUUGGAACUGUGUAGCUGGAGUGUCGGAGAGGCAGGCGGAAUUCCUAGUGUAGCGGUGAAAUGCGUAGAUAUUAGGAGGAACACCAGUGGCGAAGGCGGCCUGCUGGACGAUGACUGACGUUGAGGCUCGAAAGCGUGGGGAGCAAACAGG
This 253-nucleotide ribosomal RNA is filed under the name uncultured bacterium. Its description in RNAcentral is "partial 16S ribosomal RNA". It matches the Rfam family "Bacterial small subunit ribosomal RNA", at positions 524 to 776 of the family's 1533-position model. The record is from RNAcentral.